UGGGGAAUCUUGCGCAAUGGGCGAAAGCCUGACGCAGCAACGCCGCGUGCGGGAUGAAGGCUCUCGGGUUGUAAACCGCUUUCAGCAGGAACGAAAAUGACGGUACUUGCAGAAGAAGGUGCGGCCAACUAUGUGCCAGCAGCCGCGGUGAUACAUAGGCACCAAGCGUUGUCCGGAUUUAUUGGGCGUAAAGAGCUCGUAGGUGGUUCGGUAAGUCGGGUGUGAAAACUUUGGGCUCAACCCAAAGCCUGCAUCCGAUACUGCUGUGACUAGAGUUCGGUAGGGGANCGGGGAAUUCCUAGUGUAGCGGUGAAAUGCGCAGAUAUUAGGAGGAACACCGGUGGCGAAGGCGCCGCUCUGGGCCGAUACUGACACUGAGGAGCGAAAGCGUGGGUAGCAAACAGGAUUAGAUACCCCUGUAGUCCCUGAGCGGGCUGGCAAGGCGCAU
Molecule: ribosomal RNA, 448 nt
Filed under: uncultured bacterium
Lineage: Bacteria
Description: bacterial SSU rRNA
Rfam family: Bacterial small subunit ribosomal RNA
Source: RNAcentral